RNAcentral lists this ribosomal RNA (445 nucleotides) under uncultured bacterium. RNAcentral describes it as "partial 16S ribosomal RNA". It matches the Rfam family "Bacterial small subunit ribosomal RNA", at positions 354 to 796 of the family's 1533-position model. The record is from RNAcentral.
GUAGGGAAUAUUGGGCAAUGGAUGCAAGUCUGACCCAGCCAUCCCGCGUGCCGGAAGAAGGCCCUCAGGGUUGUUAACGGCUUUUGACGGUGAAGAAUCGACAGGAUGCGUCCUGUUUUGACGGUAGCCGUUGAAUAAGCACCGGCUAACUCCGUGCCAGCAGCCGCGGUAAUACGGAGGGUGCGAGCGUUGUCCGGAUUUAUUGGGUUUAAAGGGGGCGUAGGCUGGAAGGUCAGUCAGCGGUGAAAAGCUGUCGCUUAACGAUAGUCUUGCCGCAGAUAAUUCCUUUGUUGGAUGAGGAGGAGGCCACUGGAACGGAUGGUGUAGCGGUGAAAUGCAUAGAUAUCAUCCAGAACACCGAUUGCGAAGGCAGGUGGCUGUACCUUAAUCGACGCUGAUGCACGAAAGCAUGGGGAGCAAACAGGAUUAGAUACCCGGGUAGUCC